UGGGCUGAGCGAGAGCGCGGGCGGGCCGCGGGGGCCGGGCAUGGUGCUCUGAGGCGCUCUCGUUUCGCUGCGAGGGUCUGCUGAGGGUCAAUUGAUUUGCCUUUCAGCGCGGGGGGAGAAAGAGUUUUAACCCCGUUUUUUUGUUAGUGGAGACCUGUAAAGAGAAGGAAAUGAAAACUGAAAUAGUCACACGGUGUUGUGUCCCUUCCAGCUAACUGCUACGAAACACUCCUUGCUGCAGCGUGGGCUUGCACAGAUUCCUGUGCUUCCGCCUCAAGAAGCACAGACAAGCAUAAGGAAGUCUCAGGGCAAAUCCUGUUUAGGAGACAGCUGCACAGAAAAGAUAAUUCAAGAGUAGACCAUAGCAGGUCAAAUAUGAAGAGUGGCUUCCCACCUCUGCUCCCAGCAGUACGUGCUAGCCAAAAGCUGUUAGGGAGUUGUUUCCAGACAACUGAGAGCAUUUUAAAGGCCACACUCACCUGGGUGUUGGGUUUGAAUAGCAGAUUUUCCCUUCUGUAGAUUCUCCCUUCUCGUCUGGUGUUACAGUGUGAGCUCCCAGCCUUGUUUCAGUGUGCUUGCUCUCUGGGCUGAAGACCACAUAUUAGCUCGGAGCAGCAUUCGGGCAGCACUUUUAACAAGGAGCUUCUCGUCUGUUUGACAUGGGAGUAGAGAAAAGUUGGGCAGGCCAUGCAGUAUGGGUUCUUACAUAGGCCUCUGUAUGGAUGAGUGUGAUACUUGUGUGCAAAGGACAGGAAAUCUCAGAAGGGAGAACACGUCACUAAGGACAGAGAGAUCAGGACUAGCUCAGCCUGACCACGGAAAUGUCAAUGGGAAGAAGGAGCAGGACACAGUGGCGACCUUCCUUCUGCUGCCCUUGGAAGCUCUGUCUGGGACACGUGCCUUUGACCAGGUGCACCUGGUCAAAGAGGAUCCAGCUGCCCACCCUGUCUGCCUCUCUCCAGUGUGCCCCCUGUGACUGGGGAGAAAAAAAGGACACGAAGCUGCAGAGCGUGAAGCGAGUUGCAGGUCCUGUCUGUCCAAGGGAUCACAUUUGCUGGACCACAUGGGCUGGCAAGUACCAGGGCCAAUGUGACCAAGCCACGGCCCUGAAGAGGGGCCAAGUCUCCUGGGGAGCUGGAGCCCAAAGGGUAAGCAUUUAGUAAUGGAGGCUUCCUGGUUACACUGAAGCUGGGAUGCUACAGGGAUGUCAGCUGUUGAAGGAUUCUGAGUGGCUUUGUUCGAGUUUUAGCCAGGAUGGACAGGAACUGGCUGUUUCUGACACAGGAUGGUGCAGCAGGGCUGGUGGCUGGAAAUAGCCUCCCUCUUGGUGUCCUUUCUGACUCAGAACAGCAGUUCUGAAAGAGCACACAAAAGGGGACAAAAGCCAGAGAGCCAGGUGCAGCCUACACAAAACCUUUAUUAGCAUCCCAGGUGGCAAUAAUGUACUGAACAGGGGAGGGAGAAAAGAAGAGAGAAACCAGCCGUAUCCCACUGCAUGCACAGGACACUCGGGCUCCCAGAAUCUGAGCCAGGUGUUUCCUGGGCUUCAGGAACAAGGUGCCCCCUUUCUGUGAGCUGCUUCAGUCCUCCUCCUCCUCCUCCUCUCUCCGUCACGUCUGUGCAGGGUGUUGGGGCCACCUUUGUGUGCUUGGGAUGCCCAGGAGGCGCAAACCAGCAGCUCAGUGGUGGAUGGUGAAAACCAUCGGUGGAGAGCUGUUUGGUGGGACCAUGCUCCUGAAUGACUUUGGGGUGUCCUGCUGCCCCUCAUGCUUGGGCAGAGCUCCAUGCGAGCACUGUGUGAUGAGCAGGUGGGGACGUUCCUGUCCAUGGAGGGGUGAUGUGUGGAUGUGAGCAGACCUAGUGGCAAUCUCUGUGGGCUGCAGGGCAGCCUGUGUCAGCUUGGCACAGGACUCUGCCGUGGGUCCUAGGACCAGCUUGGGGAGUUUCAAAGCUAUUCACGGUCCUUAUCAGUGGCUGAGCUGAAAAAUGGGUGAGUGCGGUCCCUGGAGAAAGGCGCACUGUGGAUGGUAGGUUGAGGCCUUGUCCUGGAGGGAAGGAUCCUGAGGAGACCUUGAUGGCUGGUCAAGAGAGGCUCUGCAAGGCAGCUGUCAUCUGUGUCAUCUGCUCGUCAUGCAAGAGAGACAAAAUAAAAUAAGGGGCUCUACUGAGUUGCUGUGUGAG
Molecule: long non-coding RNA, 2181 nt
Organism: Anser brachyrhynchus (Pink-footed goose)
Lineage: Eukaryota; Metazoa; Chordata; Aves; Anseriformes; Anatidae
Source: Ensembl